GAUGAACGCUGGCGGCGUGCCUAAUACAUGCAAGUCGAGCGAACAGACGAGGAGCUUGCUCCUCUGACGUUAGCGGCGGACGGGUGAGUAACACGUGGAUAACCUACCUAUAAGACUGGGAUAACUUCGGGAAACCGGAGCUAAUACCGGAUAAUAUAUUGAACCGCAUGGUUCAAUAGUGAAAGACGGUUUUGGUGUCACUUAUAGAUGGAUCCGCGCCGCAUUAGCUAGUUGGUAAGGUAACGGCUUACCAAGGCGACGAUGCGUAGCCGACCUGAGAGGGUGAUCGGCCACACUGGAACUUAGACACGGUCCAGACUCCUACGGGAGGCAGCAGUAGGGAAUCUUCCGCAAUGGGCGAAAGCCUGACGGAGCAACGCCGCGUGAGUGAUGAAGGUCUUCGGAUCGUAAAACUCUGUUAUUAGGGAAGAACAAAUGUGUAAGUAACUAUGCACGUCUUGACGGUACCUAAUCAGAAAGCCACGGCUAACUACGUG
This 497-nucleotide ribosomal RNA is filed under the name uncultured bacterium. RNAcentral's name for it is "partial 16S ribosomal RNA". It matches the Rfam family "Bacterial small subunit ribosomal RNA", at positions 28 to 507 of the family's 1533-position model. The record is from RNAcentral.